UACGAAGGGGGCUAGCGUUGCUCGGAAUUACUGGGCGUAAAGGGCGCGUAGGCGGAUGUUUAAGUCGGGGGUGAAAGCCCGGGGCUCAACCUCGGAAUUGCCUUCGAUACUGGACAUCUUGAGUACGGGAGAGGUGAGUGGAACUCCGAGUGUAGAGGUGAAAUUCGUAGAUAUUCGCAAGAACACCAGUGGCGAAGGCGGCUCACUGGCCCGAUACUGACGCUGAGGCACGAAAGCGUGGGGAGCAAACAGG
Molecule: ribosomal RNA, 253 nt
Filed under: uncultured bacterium
Lineage: Bacteria
Description: partial 16S ribosomal RNA
Rfam family: Bacterial small subunit ribosomal RNA
Source: RNAcentral